GAAUGCUGACAUAAGUAACGAUAAAGCGGGUGAAAAGCCCGCUCGCCGGAAGACCAAGGGUUCCUGUCCAACGUUAAUCGGGGCAGGGUGAGUCGACCCCUAAGGCGAGGCCGAAAGGCGUAGUCGAUGGGAAACAGGUUAAUAUUCCUGUACUUGGUGUUACUGCGAAGGGGGGACGGAGAAGGCUAUGUUGGCCGGGCGACGGUUGUCCCGGUUUAAGCGUGUAGGCUGGUUUUCCAGGCAAAUCCGGAAAAUCAAGGCUGAGGCGUGAUGACGAGGCACUACGGUGCUGAAGCGACAAAUGCCCUGCUUCCAGGAAAAGCCUCUAAGCAUCAGGUAACAUCAAAUCGUACCCCAAACCGACACAGGUGGUCAGGUAGAGAAUACCAAGGCGCUUGAGAGAACUCGGGUGAAGGAACUAGGCAAAAUGGUGCCGUAACUUCGGGAGAAGGCACGCUGAUAUGUAGGUGAAGCGACUUGCUCGUGGAGCUGAAAUCAGUCGAAGAUACCAGCUGGCUGCAACUGUUUAUUAAAAACACAGCACUGUGCAAACACGAAAGUGGACGUAUACGGUGUGACGCCUGCCCGGUGCCGGAAGGUUAAUUGAUGGGGUUAGCGGUAACGCGAAGCUCUUGAUCGAAGCCCCGGUAAACGGCGGCCGUAACUAUAACGGUCCUAAGGUAGCGAAAUUCCUUGUCGGGUAAGUUCCGACCUGCACGAAUGGCGUAAUGAUGGCCAGGCUGUCUCCACCCGAGACUCAGUGAAAUUGAACUCGCUGUGAAGAUGCAGUGUACCCGCGGCAAGACGGAAAGACCCCGUGAACCUUUACUAUAGCUUGACACUGAACAUUGAGCCUUGAUGUGUAGGAUAGGUGGGAGGCUUUGAAGUGUGGACGCCAGUCUGCAUGGAGCCGACCUUGAAAUACCACCCUUUAAUGUUUGAUGUUCUAACGUGGGCCCCUUACCGGGGUUGCGGACAGUGUCUGGUGGGUAGUUUGACUGGGGCGGUCUCCUCCUAAAGAGUAACGGAGGAGCACGAAGGUUGGCUAAUCCUGGUCGGACAUCAGGAGGUUAGUGCAAUGGCAUAAGCCAGCUUGACUGCGAGCGUGACGGCGCGAGCAGGUGCGAAAGCAGGUCAUAGUGAUCCGGUGGUUCUGAAUGGAAGGGCCAUCGCUCAACGGAUAAAAGGUACUCCGGGGAUAACAGGCUGAUACCGCCCAAGAGUUCAUAUCGACGGCGGUGUUUGGCACCUCGAUGUCGGCUCAUCACAUCCUGGGGCUGAAGUAGGUCCCAAGGGUAUGGCUGUUCGCCAUUUAAAGUGGUACGCGAGCUGGGUUUAGAACGUCGUGAGACAGUUCGGUCCCUAUCUGCCGUGGGCGCUGGAGAACUGAGGGGGGCUGCUCCUAGUACGAGAGGACCGGAGUGGACGCAUCACUGGUGUUCGG
RNAcentral lists this ribosomal RNA (1444 nucleotides) under Escherichia coli. RNAcentral's name for it is "partial 23S ribosomal RNA". It matches the Rfam family "Bacterial large subunit ribosomal RNA", at positions 1292 to 2719 of the family's 2925-position model. Lineage: Bacteria; Pseudomonadati; Pseudomonadota; Gammaproteobacteria; Enterobacterales; Enterobacteriaceae. The record is from RNAcentral.